Molecule: microRNA precursor, 148 nt
Filed under: Gossypium raimondii (Peruvian cotton)
Lineage: Eukaryota; Viridiplantae; Streptophyta; Magnoliopsida; Malvales; Malvaceae
Description: miR8644 stem-loop (gra-MIR8644)
Source: miRBase by way of RNAcentral
AGUGAAGCUUUUAAACUCCAGAAGUAGGGCUAGAAUGUUGUCAUGUAUCUAUUUAAUUAUUAUAGGCAUUAAUUAACUUUCUUAAAUAUAUCCUAGUAAGACACAUGGCAACCCUCUAACUUUGCUUGUGGAGUUUAUGAACUUCUAU